UUUAUUCUACUACACAAAUUAUCUGUUGAUUUAAAAAUGGGAGGUAAACUUAUAAAGACGUCAGUUACCAUUUAACUUUUAAUUAAACUAUGUAAUUUGGAUGAAAAUCGUGGAGACUGAUAAGUAGCAAAAAAAUCAAAAGUAGCUAUGCUGCGAAACGAAUGUAUGAAAGAGCCCGCGGAUAUCGAUUUUGUUCAUCGAGAAAAUUUAACUAAUGGAGCUUAAAACGCUGAUGCUAUGCUAUAAACAAUAGAAGAAAUCAGCCCAGAAUAAGUUGUAGAAAUCCUGUAAUAGGCCAAACGUUGAAGAGAGCACAUAGUUAUCAGGGCUGAAGGUCCCUGUAUGUGGAUUGUAUUGUCAGUCGUGCAUAACACAAAUAAUAUGUUUGCAGGGCACCACAAGGCUGUGUACUGUGUGUGUCUUAAACAUUUUUACCCAAAUGGCGCUCAGGCGAUUGGAGCCAAUGAAUGUUCUAAGUGGAUCUUAUGCCCGAAAGAAAAGGAUACUAAAAGUCUCGUGCAAUAUUAUCUCUAUUCUGCAGUUCCU
Drosophila montana is the source of this 546-nucleotide long non-coding RNA. RefSeq lists it as uncharacterized. The transcript has 3 exons. The record is from RefSeq and is a predicted model, not a curated record. NCBI's taxonomy places the organism in Eukaryota, Metazoa, Arthropoda, Insecta, Diptera, Drosophilidae.